This is a long non-coding RNA of Pseudophryne corroboree (corroboree frog), 331 nucleotides long. RefSeq lists it as uncharacterized. Lineage: Eukaryota; Metazoa; Chordata; Amphibia; Anura; Myobatrachidae. The record is from RefSeq and is a predicted model, not a curated record. The transcript has 3 exons.
AGAAUUAAAGUAGAUGCAUCCACGAUCCCUUUCCUUGCACCUGCAUACCCUUUCAUGGCUACUGCACAUGUGGCUUUCCAACUACGCACGUGCCGUGCUGCAAAUCCUGCUCUGCAAGACCUCCUGCAGUCCACCGGAGAGAGAUCACAACUUCCCUCUUACAGUACCCCCAUCAGUAUCUCACAGCCAGCCUGCAAGCCAAACACAGUCUGAUGAGGAGGAACAGCCUGAUCCUUCCACUUCUGCAACAUCCAGGCAGAGUAUUACAUGAUUACAUGUCAUAAGCCUCCAAGACGCAGCCCUUUGCCCUCCCAGGAGGAGACUGCUGGGC